This 124-nucleotide small nucleolar RNA is filed under the name Chinchilla lanigera (long-tailed chinchilla). Its description in RNAcentral is "Small nucleolar RNA SNORA40 (ENSCLAG00000018618.1)". It matches the Rfam family "Small nucleolar RNA SNORA40". From Rfam's summary of the family: The snoRNA ACA 40 belongs to the H/ACA family of snoRNAs and guides the pseudouridylation of 28S rRNA subunit at position U4565. NB This family has a high threshold value to exclude a large number of closely related sequences that do not appear to have conserved H and ACA boxes, and may be pseudogenes. The record is from Rfam by way of RNAcentral. Lineage: Eukaryota; Metazoa; Chordata; Mammalia; Rodentia; Chinchillidae.
UGUAUGUGUAAGAUGUUGACUAAAAUGCUUUGCUAUUUAUGGACAAGUGCAAAAAACAAAUCCUCUUUUGUAACCCAGAACUCACUGUUUAGUAUGAGCUUUGAAUAACACAAAAAGGAAUAUU